CAGAAAACAAGUGCUGCUGGUCUCCUACCUCCAUUUGAUAAGCUGGAGUGCAAUGGCAUAGUCAUGUCUCACUGCAACCUUGCUCUCCCAGGUUCAAGAGAUUCUUCCACCUCAGCCUCCCAAGUAGCUGGGACUACAGGGUAGACAUUGUUGAAGGAUACCUCAAAGUACCCAGAAGGACAGGAGGAAUUGCAGAACCUCAGGCUGGAGGGUAUCCCUCAAAACGAGCAAGACACAGGUGAGCCAGAAGGUGGAACUGGAUAAAACUUAUAAAUAAGAUCUGUGGGUUUCUCAGAGGUUGAAAUUUAAUAAAAGAUAGUAUAAUAGAGCAGUUCAGAAUACAAACUUAGAAGGGAAUGCUUUUACACUGUUGGUGGGAAGGAACCUUGGUACAACCUUUAUUGAAAACAGUAUGGGAUUUCUCAAAGAACUGAAAAUAGAACUACUAUCCCACCCAGCAAUCCCACUACAGGAUAG
This 477-nucleotide long non-coding RNA is filed under the name Homo sapiens (human). RNAcentral's name for it is "non-protein coding lnc-GPC5-5:1". Lineage: Eukaryota; Metazoa; Chordata; Mammalia; Primates; Hominidae. The record is from RNAcentral.